This 434-nucleotide ribosomal RNA is filed under the name uncultured Clostridium sp. RNAcentral's name for it is "partial 16S ribosomal RNA". It matches the Rfam family "Bacterial small subunit ribosomal RNA", at positions 341 to 792 of the family's 1533-position model. The record is from RNAcentral. Lineage: Bacteria; Bacillati; Bacillota; Clostridia; Eubacteriales; Clostridiaceae.
ACGGGAGGCAGCAGUGGGGAAUGUUGCACAAUGGGGGGAACCCUGAUGCAGCGACGCCGCGUGAGUGAAGAAGUAUCUCGGUAUGUAAAGCUCUAUCAGCAGGGAAGAAAAUGACGGUACCUGACUAAGAAGCCCCGGCUAACUACGUGCCAGCAGCCGCGGUAAUACGUGGGGGGCAAGCGUUAUCCGGAUUUACUGGGUGUAAAGGGAGCGUAGACGGCGAUGCAAGUCUGAAGUGAAAGGCGGGGGCUCAACCCUUGGACUGCUUUGGAAACUGUAUUGCUAGAGUGCAGGAGAGGUAAGUGGAAUUCCUAGUGUAGCGGUGAAAUGCGUAGAUAUUAGGAGGAACACCAGUGGCGAAGGCGGCUUACUGGACUGUAACUGACGUUGAGGCUCGAAAGCGUGGGGAGCAAACAGGAUUAGAUACCCUGGUA